RNAcentral lists this transfer RNA (63 nucleotides) under Pariaconus pele. Its description in RNAcentral is "tRNA-Met". Lineage: Eukaryota; Metazoa; Arthropoda; Insecta; Hemiptera; Triozidae. The record is from RNAcentral.
GAAAAAUAAGCUAAUUUUAAGCUUUUGGAUUCAUAAUUCAAAUAUAGGACACCUUUUUUCUAA